This 497-nucleotide ribosomal RNA is filed under the name uncultured bacterium. Its description in RNAcentral is "partial 16S ribosomal RNA". It matches the Rfam family "Bacterial small subunit ribosomal RNA", at positions 28 to 507 of the family's 1533-position model. The record is from RNAcentral.
GAUGAACGCUGGCGGCGUGCCUAAUACAUGCAAGUCGAGCGAACAGACGAGGAGCUUGCUCCUCUGACGUUAGCGGCGGACGGGUGAGUAACACGUGGAUAACCUACCUAUAAGACUGGGAUAACUUCGGGAAACCGGAGCUAAUACCGGAUAAUAUAUUGAACCGCAUGGGUCAAUAGUGAAAGACGGUUUUGCUGUCACUUAUAGAUGGAUCCGCGCCGCAUUAGCUAGUUGGUAAGGUAACGGCUUACCAAGGCAACGAUGCGUAGCCGAACUGAGAGGGUGAUCGGCCACACGGGAACUGAGACACGGUCCAGACUCCUACGGGAGGCAGCAGUAGGGAAUCUUCCGCAAUGGGCGAGAGCCUGACGGAGCAACGCCGAGUGAGUGAUGAAGGUCUUCGGAUCGUAAAACUCUGUUAUGAGGGAAGAACAAAUGUGUAAGUAAAUAUGCACGUCUUGACGGUACCUAAUCAGAAAGCAACGGCUAACUACGUG